AACGCACAUUGCGCCCUUUGGCAUUCCGAAGGGCAUGCCUGUUCGAGCGUCAUUACACCAAUCACGCCUGGCGUGGUAUUGGGCGACGCGGCCGUCGCACGCCGCGCGCCCCAAUGACCCCGGCGGGACGGACCGAAUCUCAGCGUUGUGGUUAAAGCCGCUGGCGAGACGGGACGCCCGUGCCGUUAAACAACCCCAUCACAGGUUGACCUCGGAUCAGGUAGGGAUACCCGCUGAACUUAA
This 243-nucleotide unclassified non-coding RNA is filed under the name uncultured Capnodiales. RNAcentral describes it as "sequence contains 5.8S rRNA gene, ITS2, 28S rRNA gene". Lineage: Eukaryota; Fungi; Ascomycota; Dothideomycetes; Capnodiales. The record is from RNAcentral.